CUUGUGCCUCUUCUCCCGACAUUGUUCGUGCAGGGAGAUCGACAAGGAUUUGGAUGCGAGUAUAAGUAGAACAUGGGUGGCUGCAGUAUGGUGGGAGAUUUUUGGAUAAACUUGAGGAUAGGGAUUCGGAUUCAGGACGAGCACUUCGACAUAGAGGUUGAUUAGCUCGAUCUACAUCGGAAG
This is a long non-coding RNA of Zingiber officinale, 183 nucleotides long. RefSeq lists it as uncharacterized. The transcript has 3 exons. NCBI's taxonomy places the organism in Eukaryota, Viridiplantae, Streptophyta, Magnoliopsida, Zingiberales, Zingiberaceae. The record is from RefSeq and is a predicted model, not a curated record.